GUGGAUUAGAUACCCUGGUAGUCCACGCCCUAAACGAUGAUCACUGGGUGUUGGGGAAGCGAUUCCUUGGUACCGUAGCUAACGCGUGAAGUGAUCCGCCUGGGGAGUACGGUCGCAAGAUUAAAACUCAAAGGAAUUGACGGGGACCCGCACAAGCGGUGGAUGAUGUGGAUUAAUUCGAUGCAACGCGAACAACCUUACCUACCCUUGACAUGUCCGGAACCCUGCUGAGAGGUGGGGGUGCCCGAAAGGGAAUCGGAACACAGGUGCUGCACGGCCGUCGACAACU
RNAcentral lists this ribosomal RNA (289 nucleotides) under uncultured bacterium. RNAcentral describes it as "partial 16S ribosomal RNA". It matches the Rfam family "Bacterial small subunit ribosomal RNA", at positions 773 to 1060 of the family's 1533-position model. The record is from RNAcentral.